This is a non-coding RNA of Oryza sativa Japonica Group (Japanese rice), 2932 nucleotides long. The record is from RefSeq and is a predicted model, not a curated record. Lineage: Eukaryota; Viridiplantae; Streptophyta; Magnoliopsida; Poales; Poaceae.
UGGGCUUCUUUUGUUAAAGCGCGGCCUUCGCGACAAACGGGGGAAUCGCCUCGCGACCGAAAUGGCCGCCACCGCCGCCGCCGCCGCCGGAGUUGCCGUUGCCGGCGACCGCGCGCGCCGGCGGCAGUGGAGGUACACGUGGGAGAGCCUAGCGCACCUCCCGCUCCUACGCCUCUACCUCUUCCGCCCGGAGCUCUCCGCCGCCGCGGCCGCCGACCACCUCCGCGCCGACCUCCGCCUCGACGACUCGCUCCUCCUCCUCUCCUUCUCGCUCGCCGGGGAACCAGUCGCCCUCAGGGUCCCCGUCCCGAGGGUGCUCGUCGACCCCUCCGCCCCUCCCGAGUGCCGCGACGCGGGGGACCAUGUCGAGGUCCGCCUCGCGCUCGUCCUCCCCGUCGACCACCCCGUCGUCGCCGCCGCCUUCCUACCGCCCCCCGGCGAGGAGCCGCCCGCGCCUCUCUCCCUCCGCGAUGAUAUAAAGAAUCUGUCUUCUGGAGAUGUUCACUUGUACUGCAAAGCAUGCUCAGCAAGAUUGACAAAACAGCCACUAAGGAACAUCGAGGAAAUGCCAUCGUUAAACUGGGAAGAUGUGGCUGACAAUUGGUUUGGUGGAUGUUGCACCUCAUUUGGAGGUGCAAGCGAAAAGCUAGUAUCACAGUAUAUCAAUGCAUAUGGGCGUCUAGAGGGAACAAGUCUACUAAAUGCUACCUCCAUUAGCAUAGAAAAGGAUUAUCUUGAGAAGGAUUUAGCAUCUGGGUUAGUUAGUUCAGUGCCCAGUAACGAUUGUGAUGCUCUGCAGGAAGAUAUAUGUGAUGUUCACAUAGGAGAAGAUCAUACCACGGGGAACAUGGAAUUUAAUAGUUCAGAAGAGAAAGCAUAUCAUGAAAAGCAGAUUGGUUGUAAUCAUGUGCAAUGUUCUGUUGUUCCUGAAGAGGGUCCUUGUGUCAGUAAUAGUGAAAAAGAUGGAGACACUCUUUGGACUGAUCAAUCUGGCAUCAUUAAAGUGAACCCCGAGGAGUCUAAAAAUGACUCUUGUGUUGAUGACAUAGAGAAACCUACCAAAGAGACCGAUUUGUUGUCUGUAGAUCCAUGCAAUUGCUGUUGUGACGGUGGAAACAGCAGAAAAUCUGAAGACAAUCCUUCGAACGUGCCCUCUGGGAACCUGGAAAUGCAGGCUAAAUUGGACACCCAAAGAGAUUACAAAUUAACAAAAAGUAUAUCUCUUGGUUGUAGCUUCAUUGUGAAAGCAUCUAACCUUGUAAAUGAUGUUGAAUGGCUUGAACUUCUAUGUGCUCAUUGCUCAUCACCUAUUGGGUCAUACCCUUCACAACAUUCACAUGCUCCAGCAGAUGGCCGUGUACGACUAUUUAAAUGCUAUGCAUCGUCAGACCUUCAUGUUGGGGGACCUCAUGAUGUGUUCAGGGGGCAUACAUUAGAAAGACUUUUUGUUAAUUUGUUGCUUGAAGUUGCAGAAGAUGAAAUAUCUUUUCGUACAUUAGUCAGAGAUCUGAAAACCAAAAGGCCCAUCCUUCAAAUAGUCCUCCUUAGUUCAAAAGCGUGGCUGUUUUCUGGCUACUGCUAUGAAAAUGAUAUGGAUGGUUCACAUGGGGCAGCACAUCUGCAGCCCUCUGUUAAGAUCUUGUAUUCUAAUUGCAGUAAUGCUUUGGAAGAAGACUUAAGGACAGUAGAGGAGUGGUCAUCCAAAUAUAGGGCUGAAGAGUUGUACAUGAUGAGGCGUCAAAUAGAUGAGCUUAUUCUAAGCCUCAACUCAGCUAGGGAUAAUUUUCCACUUUCUUGCUCUUCCCUCCAGGGAAUGUACCUCUCAUCCCUAGAGCGUUGACUUGAAAAUGAGAUAAGCUCGGAUCAUGUCCUCAUGCCCUAAUACCUGUGCAUACACAGUUUUAAUAUUCUUUCAGUGAACUCAUUGACCAUCUCAUAAGUAAACUGCAAUACAUUGGGCUUGUCUUUUGCCGUCAAAAGACAGAGUGGCAUCGAAAUGGAGUAAUGGAACAGAGCAAUGGUGGAUCCAGCUACCAGUGAAUUCUGGCUCAUUAUGCUUUCGGUAGUAGGUUGUUUUAUUCAACCAUCUGGUUAUCUACUUCAUACAGUAUUUGACAUCUCGCUGUAUCUCUGAAGAAUUAGGUGAUCCUGCUUGCAGUCUGUAUCCUGCUGAAGACUUCAAGGGAAGACACCAUGGGCCAAUAGAUUAAAUACAUCUAUGCCUAUAAUGGCAGACAUAAUAAAGUGGAGCUAGUCUCUCUAAUCAUCUCCAGUACUCUUAACUGGAGCUUUCAUCAUGUGGACACAUACCCAACCCCAGGGCUAUAAUUCAGAUGGAUCAACCAAUGCAAGCCUUAUCUUUCUCUGGCAAAGAGGAUCUGUACCUGAGAUCCUAGCAUUAAAACCCACAGGUCAAACCAGUAGAAGCGGGAAGACAGACAUUGCAAGGCCGGUGCCUUUGAGCAAUGUAGGGGCCCAUGCAUAGAGGGAUCCAAGGGAGAAAAGGUAUAGUAGAUAGCACUGAGGCCUAGUGGGAGCCGUUACACUAGUAUCCAAAUGUUUAUACAGUAAUAGUAUAUUGCCAAGUUAACAGUUCAGUCCAGUCCAACUGGGUUGGAUGAUCAUAUAUACUACAUACUGUGUGUGUGCCUCCUGCAUCCAUCUAGCAGCAGUUGUAUCUGAAUUUUUAAUGUUUAAAGGAUUAGAACAUUCCAUGGAACAUUGGGAUACCUACACUGACCAGAAGCUACUAGCACUUCAAAGGUAGUAGUAGUUGUAAAAAAAAGAAAAAUCAGUGAGAAGUUGAUAGUGUGCAUGCAUGUAUUGUUAACCACUGCACUUUGACUCUUUUUUCUUUCAGUGUUUUGGAGUGUCUGAUUUGUGUUUGCAUGUAGGAUUUGAUUUAUACAACUUGGAUGGAUUAAUCCUGUAA